AGGGGCAGAAAGAUCAGAGGCGGUGGCCAAAGGAAGAGGUAAUGAUGAGAGGCUCCUAGUGGUAAAGUGGGAUCUGAUAAACUCAGACCUGGGUGUUUGAGCCUCUGAGAACCCACGUGACUGAGAGAAUAAGUUUCCAGUUACACUGUCCCUUUGGAAUAAGCGACUAAAUGUGGUGUAGUAAGGCAAAGCAGCAGGAAAGGAUGAAAUCUACACACAGCACCGUGGAACAAGCAUGAAAACCUCCAUAUCGGCGAAAAGCACGUGGUGCUGGGAGGGUGGUGCUACCCAAGAAAAAGAAGAUCAUGGGACCAGAAGUGUCUUAUGAAGAGCCCUAAAAUGAUAGGAAAAGUUUCCGGAAGAGGAAU
Molecule: long non-coding RNA, 368 nt
Organism: Leopardus geoffroyi (Geoffroy's cat)
Lineage: Eukaryota; Metazoa; Chordata; Mammalia; Carnivora; Felidae
Exons: 3
Source: RefSeq, a predicted model, not a curated record